RNAcentral lists this ribosomal RNA (792 nucleotides) under uncultured archaeon. RNAcentral's name for it is "bacterial SSU rRNA". It matches the Rfam family "Archaeal small subunit ribosomal RNA", at positions 85 to 876 of the family's 1478-position model. The record is from RNAcentral.
ACGGCUCAGUAACACGUGGACAACCUACCCUGAGGUCGGGGAUAAACCCGGGAAACUGGGUAUAAUACCCGAUAGAUCUAGAAUGCUGGAACGCGUUUAGGUCUAAAGUUCCGACGCCUCAGGAUGGGUCUGCGGCCUAUCAGGGUAGUAGUAGGUGUAAUGUACCUACUAGCCUAUGACGGGUACGGGUUGUGAGAGUAAGAGCCCGGAGAUGGAUUCUGAGAUAUGAAUCCAGGCCCUACGGGGUGCAGCAGGCGCGAAACCUUUACAAUGCUGGCAACAGCGAUAAGGGGACCUCGAGUGCCACGAUACAAUCGUGGCUGUCUAGUUGCCUAAAAAGCAAUUGAUAGCAAGGGCCGGGCAAGACCGGUGUUAGCCGUUGUGGUAACACCGGCGGCUCGAGUGGUAACCGCUAUUAUUUGGUCUAAAGGGUCUGUAGCCGGCUUAGUCAGUCUUUUGAGAAAUCUGGCCGUUUAACGGUCAGGCGUUCAGGGGAUACUGCUAAAGCUCGAGACCGGGAGAGGUGAGAGGUACUUCAGGGGUAGGGGUGAAAUCUUGUAAUCCUUGAAGGACCACCAGUGGCGAAGGCGUCUCACCAGAACGGAUCUGACGGCAAGGGACGAAAGCUAGGGGCACGAACCGGAUUAGAUACCCGGGUAGUCCUAGCCGUAAACGAUACUCGCUAGGUGUCGGCCACGGUGUGACCGUGGUCGGUGCCGUAGGGAAGCCGUGAAGCGAGCCACCUGGGAAGUACGGCCGCAAGGCUGAAACUUAAAGGAAUUGGCGGGGGAG